GGGGUACUCGAGUGGCGAACGGGUGAGUAACACGUGGGUGAUCUGCCCUGCACUUUGGGAUAAGCCUGGGAAACUGGGUCUAAUACCGAAUACACCCUGCUGGUCGCAUGGCCUGGUAGGGGAAAGCUUUUGCGGUGUGGGAUGGGCCCGCGGCCUAUCAGCUUGUUGGUGGGGUGAUGGCCUACCAAGGCGACGACGGGUAGCCGGCCUGAGAGGGUGACCGGCCACACUGGGACUGAGAUACGGCCCAGACUNCUACGGGAGGCAGCAGUGGGGAAUAUUGCACAAUGGGCGCAAGCCUGAUGCAGCGACGCCGCGUGAGGGAUGACGGCCUUCGGGUUGUAAACCUCUUUCAGCACAGACGAAGCGCAAGUGACGGUAUGUGCAGAAGAAGGACCGGCCAACUACGUGCCAGCAGCCGCGGUAAUACGUAGGGUCCGAGCGUUGUCCGGAAUUACUGGGCGUAAAGAGCUCGUAGGUGGUUUGUCGCGUUGUUCGUGAAAACUCACAGCUUAACUGUGGGCGUGCGGGCGAUACGGGCAGACUAGAGUACUGCAGGGGAGACUGGAAUUCCUGGUGUAGCGGUGGAAUGCGCAGAUAUCAGGAGGAACACCGGUGGCGAAGGCGGGUCUCUGGGCAGUAACUGACGCUGAGGAGCGAAAGCGUGGGGAGCGAACAGGAUUAGAUACCCUGGUAGUCCACGNCGUAAACGGUGGGUACUAGGUGUGGGUUUCCUUCCUCCCUGUGUAGGAAAACCAGA
Molecule: ribosomal RNA, 760 nt
Filed under: Mycolicibacterium smegmatis
Lineage: Bacteria; Bacillati; Actinomycetota; Actinomycetes; Mycobacteriales; Mycobacteriaceae
Description: bacterial SSU rRNA
Rfam family: Bacterial small subunit ribosomal RNA
Source: RNAcentral